AGAGACAGCAGUCGCCACGGGAAUACAGAGGGUGCAAGCGUUAAUCGGAAUUACUGGGCGUAAAGCGCGCGUAGGUGGUUUGUUAAGUUGGAUGUGAAAUCCCCGGGCUCAACCUGGGAACUGCAUCCAAAACUGGCAAGCUAGAGUAUGGUAGAGGGUGGUGGAAUUUCCUGUGUAGCGGUGAAAUGCGUAGAUAUAGGAAGGAACACCAGUGGCGAAGGCGACCACCUGGACUGAUACUGACACUGAGGUGCGAAAGCGUGGGGAGCAAACAGGAUUAGAUACCCCUGUAGUCCCUGUCUCUUAUAC
Molecule: ribosomal RNA, 309 nt
Filed under: uncultured bacterium
Lineage: Bacteria
Description: partial 16S ribosomal RNA
Rfam family: Bacterial small subunit ribosomal RNA
Source: RNAcentral